GAGAAAGGAACAACAGUGCUCCUUUCAGCCUUGCAGGAUUUCAAUUCACAUGCUGUUCUGACUACCUGGGAGAGAUUGGAAGUUUCUCCACGUUGAGUUUUCCAAUCUGUUCCUGCAAACGUCCCACCUAUUUCCAGAGGGAGAAGUCAGAUAACGGGUCAGAUAAUUCCUCAGUAUGGACAUUGCCAUGGUGUCCUUUCAGUGAUGCCUAAAGCAUUUGCCAUGAAUUUCUGGUGAAAUUUGUGAAAAAUGCUUUCUCAGCCACUUCUGUGACGUCACCCACUGGCCUUUGGUGUGUGAGCAUUUCCAGGAACACAGGAGCUUUGCAGGACCAUGCCCUGGCCUCCUCUGUGGUGUAUUUACCACCUCAGAAAGAGUGAAGAAAACCUCACAAAAUUCAGAAUUCUUUUUAACAGUUGUUUUGCCAUGGAAGGAGAAAGAAACCCAACCUGAGCUCCCCCCGAAGUGGAUGGAGAGAGGAAGGCAUCUCCAGAAGGUGGUGAACUGAUCUCCCAUUUAAAGCAGGUCUGAGAAUUUAACCUGGUGACUCCUCUUGUUUUUGUGUGUGCAUGUUUGUGUGCUAUUCUUUUGGAUCACAGAAAUGAACACUAUGAUAAUCUGAACUAAAGUAUCUUUGCAAAGACCAUUCAACCCCCAUGGAAAAUCCAUCCGUCAGGACACUGAGGUUUAUGCCAGACUUGAAACACUGAAAUCAUUCCUAAAAAUCCAGCAUAUACUGCAGUACUUUGCUGAAUUUGGACCUUCCAGAGUGCAGAGAUGAAGGAUUUCUUUGCAGUCUUAAUUGUUUGUUUCAAUCCUAUUCAGACUCUCUCCUUGUUUUGUCCUUGAUAGAAAAAUGCAAUCCCUAAAGCUCCCUUUCAUCUCCUUGCUCUGUAAAUAAUUUUGUCCUAAG
Long non-coding RNA from Prinia subflava (tawny-flanked prinia), 913 nucleotides. RefSeq lists it as uncharacterized. NCBI's taxonomy places the organism in Eukaryota, Metazoa, Chordata, Aves, Passeriformes, Cisticolidae. The transcript has 3 exons. The record is from RefSeq and is a predicted model, not a curated record.